GCCAUCCUCCCACCUAAGCCUCCCGAAGAGCUAAGACCACAGCAAGGAUCAGGCAUUGUAACAGCCUCAUGAAGUUGUGAAGAUUAAACGAAGUGACACAUGUGAAUCAUUGAGGACAAUGCUGGGCAAAUAAGACAACACAAAAAGAGAGAGAAAGAUGCUGUAUUCUUCCUACCUGUGUCCCAGAAUCCUGAACAGCCGCCGGUGUGCAGGGCCUGGUGGGAAGUGACGUUGCUGCAGAAGCUGCAGUGCUGACGAGGAGGGCAGCAUCCCUCAGAGAGAAGGACACCACAGAGAGUCCCUACCAGCCAGGAGGCUCUCACCAGAUGCGCCCCCUUGACCUUGGACCUCCUAGCUUCAAAAACUGUCAUACAAGACACUCUGUCUUGCUCUCUUGAAUUGCCUGCUCUGGUGGAAGCCAGCCAGCUUCUGCCAUGUCAUGAGAACACUCAUGCAGCCCUGGGAAGAGUCCACGUGGUUCUCUUUAGAAGACUAAAAAAAAG
RNAcentral lists this long non-coding RNA (503 nucleotides) under Homo sapiens (human). RNAcentral describes it as "HSALNT0340402". The record is from RNAcentral. Lineage: Eukaryota; Metazoa; Chordata; Mammalia; Primates; Hominidae.